UACGUAGGGUGCAAGCGUUGUCCGGAAUUAUUGGGCGUAAAGAGCUCGUAGGCGGUCUGUCGCGUCGAAUGUGAAAACCCGGGGCUCAACCCCGGGCCUGCAUUCGAUACGGGCAGACUAGAAUUCGGUAGGGGAGUCUGGAAUUCCUGGUGUAGCGGUGAAAUGCGCAGAUAUCAGGAGGAACACCGGUGGCGAAGGCGGGACUCUGGGCCGAUACUGACGCUGAGGAGCGAAAGCGUGGGGAGCAAACAGG
Molecule: ribosomal RNA, 253 nt
Filed under: uncultured bacterium
Lineage: Bacteria
Description: partial 16S ribosomal RNA
Rfam family: Bacterial small subunit ribosomal RNA
Source: RNAcentral